AUACGGAGGAUCCGAGCGUUAUCCGGAUUUAUUGGGUUUAAAGGGUGCGCAGGCGGCCAUUUAAGUCAGCGGUUAAAUCGUGGGGCUCAACCCCAUUCUGCCGUUGAUACUGGGUGGCUUGAUUGCGGUCGAGGUUGGCGGAAUUAGUUGUGUAGCGGUGAAAUGCAUAGGUAUGACGAAGAACACCGAUUGCGUAGGCAGCUGACCAGACCGCAAAUGACGCUCAUGCACGAAAGUGCGGGGAUCGAACAGGAUUAGAUACCCUGGUAGUCCGCACAGUAAACGAUGAAUACUUGUUUUCGGCGAUAUAAUGUCGGAGGCAAAGCGAAAGCGAUAAGUAUUCCACCUGGGGAGUACGCCGGCAACGGUGAAACUCAAAGGAAUUGGCGGGG
RNAcentral lists this ribosomal RNA (392 nucleotides) under uncultured bacterium. RNAcentral's name for it is "partial 16S ribosomal RNA". It matches the Rfam family "Bacterial small subunit ribosomal RNA", at positions 523 to 918 of the family's 1533-position model. The record is from RNAcentral.